UACGGAGGGAGCUAGCGUUGUUCGGAAUUACUGGGCGUAAAGCGCGCGUAGGCGGCUUUGUAAGUUAGAGGUGAAAGCCCGGGGCUCAACCCCGGAACUGCCUUUAAGACUGCAUCGCUUGAAUCCGGGAGAGGUGAGUGGAAUUCCGAGUGUAGAGGUGAAAUUCGUAGAUAUUCGGAAGAACACCAGUGGCGAAGGCGACCCACUGGACAUGUAUUGACGCUGAGGUACGAAAGCGUGGGGAGCAAACAGG
Molecule: ribosomal RNA, 253 nt
Filed under: uncultured bacterium
Lineage: Bacteria
Description: partial 16S ribosomal RNA
Rfam family: Bacterial small subunit ribosomal RNA
Source: RNAcentral